Molecule: ribosomal RNA, 255 nt
Filed under: Salmonella enterica subsp. enterica serovar Derby
Lineage: Bacteria; Pseudomonadati; Pseudomonadota; Gammaproteobacteria; Enterobacterales; Enterobacteriaceae
Description: partial 16S ribosomal RNA
Rfam family: Bacterial small subunit ribosomal RNA
Source: RNAcentral
GGCCGCAAGGUUAAAACUCAAAUGAAAUGACGGGGGCCCGCACAAGCGGUGGAGCAUGUGGUUUAAUUCGAUGCAACGCGAAGAACCUUACCUGGUCUUGACAUCCACAGAACUUUCCAGAGAUGGAUUGGUGCCUUCGGGAACUGUGAGACAGGUGCUGCAUGGCUGUCGUCAGCUCGUGUUGUGAAAUGUUGGGUUAAGUCCCGCAACGAGCGCAACCCUUAUCCUUUGUUGCCAGCGAUUAGGUCGGGAACU